GAACGCACCUUGCACCCUUUGGUAUUCCGAAGGGUAUGCUCGUUUGAGUGUCAUUGUACUCUCACACUUCUGAUCCUUUGGAUUGGGAGCGGUGGACUUGGGUGCUGCUGCUUUGCUGUGGCUCACCUCAAAUGCAGUAGUGCAACUCUUGGUUGGACAUAGUACGGCGUGAUAAGUGUCUUCGCCGGCACCUCGCAAGAGGGUGGCUGAUCAGGGGCUCUGUGCUUCCAACGGUCUUCGGACAACAUUUGACAACUUGACCUCAAAUCGAGUAGGACCACCCGCUGAACUUAAG
RNAcentral lists this unclassified non-coding RNA (295 nucleotides) under uncultured Sebacina. RNAcentral describes it as "sequence contains 5.8S rRNA gene". Lineage: Eukaryota; Fungi; Basidiomycota; Agaricomycetes; Sebacinales; Sebacinaceae. The record is from RNAcentral.